AGAGAGAGACAUGCGCGCAUAUCAAUAAGCGGAGGAAAAGAAACUAACAAGGAUUCCCUUAGUAACGGCGAGUGAAGCGGGAAGAGCUCAAAUUUGAAAUCUUCAAGGUUUUACCUUGACGAAUUGUAGUUUAAAGAAGUGUUUUCUGCUGAAGUUUUGGUAAAAGUUCUUUGGAAUAGGACAUCAUAGAGGGUGAGAAUCCCGUAUUUGACCAUUAUUUUCAGCUUUGUGAUACACUUUCAAAGAGUCGGAUUGUUUGGGAAUGCAGUCCAAAAUGGGUGGUAAAUUUCAUCUAAAGCUAAAUAUUGGCGAGAGACCGAUAGCGAACAAGUACCGUGAGGGAAAGAUGAAAAGAACUUUGAAAAGAGAGUUAAACAGUACGUGAAAUUGUCAAAAGGGAAGCGUUUGACACCAGUGUUGUUUUCUCGAAAAUCAAUUAAAAAUGGCUCGAUUUUGUAUUGCUGAGACCUUAAAAGCUCACUGUACAUUUUUCGUGUCUUUUUUAAUGCACUUUUCGUUUAACAAGUCAACAUCAGUUUCUUUUGUUGUAAAAGGGUCAUUGGAAGGUGGCUUUCUUUUCGGAGAAAGUGUUUAUAGCCUUUGGCCUCUGCAAUCGAAGAGACUGAGGUCUGCAGCGUAGACUCUUCGGGGUUAGAUACAUUUGUGCUAAGUUAUAGCUUUUUAUCAGACAACUUGCUGACUAUAAUUAGUCUUGUAGCUUACUCGCUUAUGCUAUUUUACCUACGCUUAGGAUGUUGAAGUCAUCGUAUCGCGC
Molecule: ribosomal RNA, 775 nt
Filed under: uncultured Neocallimastigales
Lineage: Eukaryota; Fungi; Neocallimastigomycota; Neocallimastigomycetes; Neocallimastigales
Description: partial large subunit ribosomal RNA
Rfam family: Eukaryotic large subunit ribosomal RNA
Source: RNAcentral